This 88-nucleotide non-coding RNA is filed under the name Pseudomonas fluorescens. RNAcentral also lists the same sequence under 1 other name. Lineage: Bacteria; Pseudomonadati; Pseudomonadota; Gammaproteobacteria; Pseudomonadales; Pseudomonadaceae. The record is from RNAcentral.
GUGGGAGCGAGCUUGCUCGCGAUGGCGUCGGAUCAGUCAGCAUGGAUGUUGGCUGACACUCCGCAAUCGCGAGCAAGCUCGCUCCCAC